CCUACGGGAGGCAGCAGUGAGGAAUAUUGGUCAAUGGGCGCGAGCCUGAACCAGCCAAGUAGCGUGAAGGAUGACUGCCCUACGGGUUGUAAACUUCUUUUAUAAAGGAAUAAAGUGAGGCACGUGUGCCUUUUUGUAUGUACUUUAUGAAUAAGGAUCGGCUAACUCCGUGCCAGCAGCCGCGGUAAUACGGAGGAUCCGAGCGUUAUCCGGAUUUAUUGGGUUUAAAGGGUGCGUAGGUGGGUUUUUAAGUCAGUUGUGAAAGUUUGCGGCUCAACCGUAAAAUUGCAAUUGAUACUGGCAGCCUUGAGUACAGUUGAGGUAGGCGGAAUGCGGGGUGUAGCGGUGAAAUGCUUAGAUAUCACGAAGAACGCCGAUUGCGAAGGCAGCCUACUAAGCUGCCACUGACGUUGAUGCUCGAAAGUGUGGGUAUCAAACAGGAUUAGAUACCCGAGUAGUC
This 460-nucleotide ribosomal RNA is filed under the name uncultured bacterium. RNAcentral describes it as "partial 16S ribosomal RNA". It matches the Rfam family "Bacterial small subunit ribosomal RNA", at positions 338 to 795 of the family's 1533-position model. The record is from RNAcentral.